AGGACAACGCAAGCUGACUGGGAUGAAUGUGAUGUGGAUGAUCCCCGGUCGAGAAGUCCAGUGAAUCAGGUUUCUGAAGAAAAACGCAAGAAACUGAAACCUGGAUCAAAGCUGCCAGAACAAUGACAGGCCCAGGAGCCCAGCUUCCCCACAGGCCCUGGCGAGACGAGGCCGGGGGCUGAGUUCGGAGGGAGCUGCUCAGCAUGCUGAAAUAUGGAGGCGACAGAUAAGGUGGCAGUGGCACAGAGCGGCCUUCUCCCAUGGGCCC
This is a long non-coding RNA of Monopterus albus (swamp eel), 268 nucleotides long. RefSeq lists it as uncharacterized. Lineage: Eukaryota; Metazoa; Chordata; Actinopteri; Synbranchiformes; Synbranchidae. The record is from RefSeq and is a predicted model, not a curated record. The transcript is spliced from 3 exons.